This is an RNA transcript of Mus pahari (shrew mouse), 1475 nucleotides long. It is a transcript of the gene named E3 ubiquitin-protein ligase RNF13, with no coding region annotated. NCBI's taxonomy places the organism in Eukaryota, Metazoa, Chordata, Mammalia, Rodentia, Muridae. The record is from RefSeq and is a predicted model, not a curated record. The transcript has 7 exons.
GAGGCGGGACUUCCGCCCGCCCGCUGUUGUGGUCCCUUCUCCGACUCGCUUGGGUAGGGGCUCAGUGCAGCUACUCAGUCAUGAAGUCCGGGUAGCGACUUCUCUUGGGUGGCCGUGAGCCUAGGUUCCCGGGCCGGACUUCAGGUGAUUCUCAAGAUGCUGCUCUCCAUCGGGAUGCUCAUGCUGUCCGCCACACAAGUCUACACCAUCUUGACUGUGCAGCUCUUUGCAUUCCUGAACCUGCUGCCUGUAGAAGCAGACAUUUUAGCAUAUAAUUUUGAAAAUGCAUCUCAGACAUUUGAGGACCUUCCAGCAAGAUUUGGUUAUAGACUACCAGCUGAAGGCUUAAAGGGUUUUCUGAUUAACUCAAAACCAGAGAAUGCGUGUGAACCCAUAGUGCCUCCACCCCUGAAAGACAACUCUUCCAGCACUUUCAUCGUGCUGAUUAGAAGACUUGAUUGUAAUUUUGAUAUAAAGGUUUUAAAUGCCCAGAGAGCAGGAUACAAAGCAGCCAUAGUUCACAAUGUAGACUCUGAUGACCUGAUUAGCAUGGGAUCCAACGACAGUCAGUGCCUUGCUUAGCCAUCAUCAGAGGAGCUUCCUCCUGCAGCAGAUGGGAACAGAUACAGCUACUAUGCAGACAUUGAAAGGCUUUGGAACACAUCCUUAAAUAAGCUGUCCCCAUCAAAUUCUUCCCCCCAAAAGAUUGUUUUUAUUUGAGUUUCUGAUUAUUUUAUUUCCAUACCUGAAUAGUGGGUAAUUUUUAAAAAAAAAUUUUGGCGGCAUUUUAUUUUUGUUUUAAAUAUGUAGGUCAGGGUCAAGUUUCUUGGGACCUCUAGGAGGAACUUGAACUCCCUCUCUCCUUGCCAGGUAAUCUGUCACCAUUUCCCUUGAGAGCCAGAAAUAGGGUGUUGUCCGUUAAACUUCCCUGAGUGGAGACCUUACACUGGUGGCUUGUCUCUGUCCUUGAAAUGGGUCUAUAUACAUUUUCCUCCUCUGUCCUUGGGAAUCAAGUUAUAUGUCGGAAGGAAGGCUAAAAUUUUGCCCUUUUCUUUGUUCUUUAAUAGUUAAAAUGUUUUUUUUUCUAUAGAAGAGUAAGUCAAAGGAAAAUAUUAGAGAUUAAAAACUGUCUCUACCUUGUAAGACUGUUGAGAGAACUAAGUGAACAUGUACAUGGAAAUUUGGGUGUAAUUGUGUCUAGUUGCAUUUGCUGCUCUUAGAGAGACCCUUAAGUAUUGCCUUGUUACAAAUAAGUUUGCUGUUCUUUUACACAGUUGAUACAUUAAAGAAAAUUGACAUUCCAUCUGUCUUUAUUGGUGAAUCAUCAGCUAAUUCCCUGAAAGAUGAAUUCACAUAUGAAAAAGGGGGCCACAUUGUCUUAGUUCCAGAGCUGAGUCUUCCUUUGGAGUACUAUCUGAUCCCCUUCCUCAUCAUAGUGGGCAUCUGCCUCAUCCUAAUAGUCAUUUUUAUGGUAA